RNAcentral lists this ribosomal RNA (597 nucleotides) under Lactobacillus gasseri. RNAcentral describes it as "bacterial SSU rRNA". It matches the Rfam family "Bacterial small subunit ribosomal RNA", at positions 61 to 618 of the family's 1533-position model. The record is from RNAcentral. Lineage: Bacteria; Bacillati; Bacillota; Bacilli; Lactobacillales; Lactobacillaceae.
GUCGAGCGAGCUUGCCUAGAUGAAUUUGGUGCUUGCACCAAAUGAAACUAGAUACAAGCGAGCGGCGGACGGGUGAGUAACACGUGGGUAACCUGCCCAAGAGACUGGGAUAACACCUGGAAACAGAUGCUAAUACCGGAUAACAACACUAGACGCAUGUCUAGAGUUUAAAAGAUGGUUCUGCUAUCACUCUUGGAUGGACCUGCGGUGCAUUAGCUAGUUGGUAAGGUAACGGCUUACCAAGGCAAUGAUGCAUAGCCGAGUUGAGAGACUGAUCGGCCACAUUGGGACUGAGACACGGCCCAAACUCCUACGGGAGGCAGCAGUAGGGAAUCUUCCACAAUGGACGCAAGUCUGAUGGAGCAACGCCGCGUGAGUGAAGAAGGGUUUCGGCUCGUAAAGCUCUGUUGGUAGUGAAGAAAGAUAGAGGUAGUAACUGGCCUUUAUUUGACGGUAAUUACUUAGAAAGUCACGGCUAACUACGUGCCAGCAGCCGCGGUAAUACGUAGGUGGCAAGCGUUGUCCGGAUUUAUUGGGCGUAAAGCGAGUGCAGGCGGUUCAAUAAGUCUGAUGUGAAAGCCUUCGGCUCAACCGGAG